GAUGAACGCUGGCGGCGUGCCUAAUACAUGCAAGUCGAGCGAACAGACGAGAGUGCUUGCACUCUCUGACGUUAGCGGCGGACGGGUGAGUAACACGUGGGUAACCUACCUAUAAGACUGGGAUAACUUCGGGAAACCGGAGCUAAUACCGGAUAAUAUUUAGCUUCGCAUGACGCAAUAGUGAAAGACGGUUCUGCUGUCACUUAUAGAUGGACCCGCGGUGUAUUAGCUAGUUGGUGAGGUAACGGCUCACCAAGGCAACGAUACAUAGCCGACCUGAGAGGGUGAUCGGCCACACUGGGACUGAGACACGGCCCAGACUCCUACGGGAGGCAGCAGUAGGGAAUAUUCCGCAAUGGACGAAAGUCUGACGGAGCAAUGCCGCGUGAGUGAAGAAGGUUUUCGGAUCGUAAAACUCUGUUGUAAGGGAAGAACAAGUACGUUAGUAACUGAACGUACCUUGACGGUACCUUACCAGAAAGCCACGGCUAACUACGUG
Molecule: ribosomal RNA, 499 nt
Filed under: uncultured bacterium
Lineage: Bacteria
Description: partial 16S ribosomal RNA
Rfam family: Bacterial small subunit ribosomal RNA
Source: RNAcentral